AUCAGUGGGGGCAGCAUCAGAGAAGCUGCAGCACUUCAAAUGGAAUGUGAGGUUUUCAAGCCUUAUAGUCAUAAAUAUUUCAUCUGCCAGCAGCUUUGAGGAGACGAGAGGGGGCAGGCCAACCAGCCACAGACCCAGCGCUUCUGGGCUUCGAACAACAAACUGCAGCUCUCAGAGACAAAAGGGACGGAACUGUCAGCAAAAGUUUCACUCGCAGUCAACGAUUUGGAGCAACAGAUCAGAAAAAAACAUUCGAGCAAUCCAUGCAGUGAAGUGUGUUGCACAGGAGACACAUGACAGAAUUGUUUAAUUGCAGCGCCAAUGAUGAUGUGGGGAGCAAUGUGGAUGUUUCAGAACCCUAAUCUGUUGCAAAGAUGGCACCUGACACGCAUCUGGGCUCUCUAAAAUUUAGACUGGCUGGUGAGACAAGUAAGGCCUUGCAAAGAGACUGGAUCAGACAUCUCAAGAAGGCGCUGAUAAAGCUCAAGGGGUUGAUCAAGGAGACCCUUUUUGAAGACAUGAAUGACAUCAAGAUGUCAGUGAUGACGGAGCUGCGGAGGAUUCCGGAAGAAUCCUUCCAGGAGUGCAUGGAGGCAUGGCAGAGAAGACUGGGAAAGUGUGUCAGACUCCGGUGGGAUUGCUUUGGAGGGGGGAAAACUUGUAGUUUGGACUUCAAAUACCUGUCUUGAGAUACGAGUGACUCAACUUACAAGUUUUUCGAGAGAUAAGCCGUCAUUCGGACGAUUUAAAAAAAUAUAUAUUAUUUUUAUUUUUUUGCUUUGACUUUUUUCUGGUGGCAGCAAACUCCAAUCACUUCACAACAAUGAGAAGUUUGGCAGAUAGUUAACAAUUCUUAAAAAAAACAAAACGAGGCUUUGAGCCAUUUAUUGCCACUCCCAGUUCAAAUCUACUGUCAAACUAAACAUUAAAAAAAUAGAAAUUUAAACAGUCACAUGACUUUGCUUCCGCUAGCUUAAUGCUUACACAUAUUGGGAAACGCCAUAGACGGGCAAAAGAAAGUACCUGUGUUGCGGUGUUCUCUUUUCAGCAAUGGAUAUUUUUACACAAUCAGUGGAGCACCACAUGUAGACAGAUAAUAUAACAAUCCUCACAGGCUUAUAUUCUUUAUCUUCUUUGAAGAACAACUAAGCUGUCUGUAUUAUACUACGCCCUGGUGGCCAAGGUGCACACAUCAGAAUGAGCAGCACAAUGUCCAUUGAAUCGAAGCAAAAAAAACAUGGCAAAAACAGUUUUUACAUUCUAUUAAAUUAUUCCAUCAUUAUAUGUUUUUAUGAACUACUAUAUUAAAGAGUGCUAUUUUUCUUUGUUAGUGUUUUUGGGAGCCCUAGAAUGGAUUAACGGCUUUCCCAUUCAUUUCAAUGUGGAAAGACGAGUUGAGAUUCGUUUUGAGUUACGAGCGUCGUUAUUGAAUGAAUUGAACUUGUAUCUCAAGGCGACACUACAGUCCCCUCCAAAAGUAUUAGAAUGGCAAAGUCAAUUGCCGUGCCGUCAAUUGUUGCUCCUUUGAAAAGUGGGUGGCUUCAAACAAAAGAUGCAAAUACCAGGAAAUAAAAGCUGGAAUUCUGAACUUUUGUCUCUUAUUCAUCUUUUGAUCUGAAACGCCUUCAGUAUACAACAAAAACAAAGCAAUUGACCUUGCCGUUCCAAUACCUUUGGAGGAGACUGUAUACAUUUUGUGGCACCAGUCAUAUAACUUUCGGACAUAGCUCGUAUGUGCAAAGUGAUGUGCCGAGACACUGUAGGCAUCAGCUUCUGUAAAAAUUCUUAAAUAUCAUAUUAUG
Phyllopteryx taeniolatus (common seadragon) is the source of this 1802-nucleotide long non-coding RNA. RefSeq lists it as uncharacterized. The transcript has 5 exons. Lineage: Eukaryota; Metazoa; Chordata; Actinopteri; Syngnathiformes; Syngnathidae. The record is from RefSeq and is a predicted model, not a curated record.